Molecule: ribosomal RNA, 500 nt
Filed under: uncultured bacterium
Lineage: Bacteria
Description: partial 16S ribosomal RNA
Rfam family: Bacterial small subunit ribosomal RNA
Source: RNAcentral
AUUGAACGCUGGCGGAAUGCUUUACACAUGCAAGUCGAACGGCAGCACGGACUUCGGUCUGGUGGCGAGUGGCGAACGGGUGAGUAAUGUAUCGGACCGUGCCCAGUCGUGGGGGAUAACGUAGUGAAAAUUACGCUAAUACCGCAUACGAUCUAUGGAUGAAAGCGGGGGAUCGCAAGACCUCGCGCGAUUGGAGCGGCCGAUAUCAGAUUAGGUAGUUGGUGGGGUAAUGGCCCACCAAGCCAACGAUCUGUAGCUGGUCUGAGAGGACGACCAGCCACACUGGAACUGAGACACGGUCCAGACUCCUACGGGAGGCAGCAGUGGGGAAUUUUGGACAAUGGGCGAAAGCCUGAUCCAGCCAUUCCGCGUGCAGGAUGAAGGCCCUCGGGUUGUAAACUGCUUUUGUACAGAACGAAAAGGUUUCUACUAAUACUAGGAGCUCAUGACGGUACUGUAAGAAUAAGCACCGGCUAACUACGUGCCAGCAGCCGCCGUAA